AAGGCUUCAUCUAAACCCCCUCCAUUCAUCGUACCCAGAAUCCACGCAGUGCAAGGAAACACCGGCUUUAGCUUUGGAACUGUUGCAGCUGCGGGUCUACAGGGCGGAUUACUUGCUAAAGCUGGCAUGUUUUCCUUCAGAAUAUGCCCACCUUCUGCUGAGAGCAAGACUGCGGGUCUCGACCAGACAGGAAAAGCUCCUGAGUCAACAGGAACUGCUUCCACAUUGUUACUUCCUGGAGGAUACAGGUUAAUAAAACUGCCCAUGUUUGUCAGUCCCAGCGUGAGCAGCCCGACCGCUUCUGUACCCGCCGUAUGCACCGAGAAAUCAACCGAAGACCCGAGCGCACACCAGUCCUCAGUCUCUAUUAAAACAGAACCAGGUGAAGAGCGCAGUGGCCUGCUCUCAGAAGACGGUGCUCCAGUUAUCAUUAAAGUAGAGUCUUACAGCGGCGACUCUUCAUCCAAACAUCCAUGCGCUGAGCCAGAGGAACGAUCGCUGCACAUUAAGAUCGAGGAUGAUACGGACCAGUCCACACAGAACAGCAAAGACUCAUCACACCGCGCCAAAAUAGAGGAGCCAGACCACGAGACGAUCACAGGCGUCAGUCAUCAUCUGAACACCUCUGAAAGCAGGGAUCGUGGUGUGAAAGACACAGACAGAUCCUCCUCUAAUACUGAAGUCAAGCAGCAUCUGAGAAGCCGAGAGGAGAGGAAGGACACAGCCAUUGGUGCUGGUUUAUUGUGCUCUGCAUUUGAGGGUCGCACCUCAUCGGUCUCACAGAGUUUCACUAAAACACACAAACCCGGAGCUGAGGAGAUCCAGAACCGGAGGAGAAAACAACAGGCUCCGGACGAUCCACGAGUGGAUUCUGCUGCUGAACUCAAUCAAUCCAGCAGCGCGUUCAUGUACUCCAGUGACGGAUGGACCACAGAAGACAGUGUAAGUCAGCUAAAAACACUGGUUUCUUGAUUUCAAGCGAUUCACAUUUUUCUUAAAUUAUGAGAAUCGAUCAGUGCUGUUUUUAGUUGAUGUGUGAACAUAACCUCUAACCCAGUCAUCUCAACAAGCUUCGUUACUUUUGAAACAAAGUCUCAGCGUUCAAAUUCAGUCAGUUCUAUAAUGAAAUUCAAUCAAUAAACAUGAAUGUACGUCAGAAGGUGUUGAUAGAAACAGAACUCACUAAAAUCUGUGAUUCAGCUGCAGAAAGACNNNNNNNNNNNNNNNNNNNNNNNNNNNNNNNNNNNNNNNNNNNNNNNNNNNNNNNNNNNN
RNAcentral lists this long non-coding RNA (1272 nucleotides) under Sinocyclocheilus grahami. RNAcentral's name for it is "lncRNA (ENSSGRG00000006389.1)". Lineage: Eukaryota; Metazoa; Chordata; Actinopteri; Cypriniformes; Cyprinidae. The record is from RNAcentral.